Molecule: long non-coding RNA, 2080 nt
Organism: Galleria mellonella (greater wax moth)
Lineage: Eukaryota; Metazoa; Arthropoda; Insecta; Lepidoptera; Pyralidae
Exons: 2
Source: RefSeq, a predicted model, not a curated record
ACUUAGCACUUCAGUGGCUUUUUACGAUUUGUCAAAUAGAUUUGGUCACGGUUAUAAAAUUUCAACUUUGGCUAGUAUUUACACAGCAGAAGCAAAAGCUAUAUUUUUAGCAUUAGAAUACAUAGAAAAACAGGUACUAUAUUCGAAAUGGAUUAUAAUUACAGAUAGUAUGAGUGUUCUUAUGGCAUUAAAAAAUAACACAUUCAUUUCAUCAUCAAACUACUUAAUUCAAGAAAUUCGUAAUAAAUAUUAUCAUCUCUGUACUAUAUAUGGAAAAGAUAUUAUCUUCAUCUGGACCCCUUCACAUAUUGGAGUGUUUGGGAAUGAACAAGUAGACACUUUGGCUAAAAUUAUUAAUUCAAGUGCUGCUCGUGUUCAAGAUUUACCCCUUUGUUACUCAGAUUGUAGUAUUGGAAUACAUAAAAUCGUUACAACUAAAUGGGAGGAGCAUUGGACUCAAAUAUUACAGACUAAAGGCAAAUGGUACCGCAAAAUUAAUUGGCGUAUUGGAAAACCGUGGUUCUGCAAAGGAAAGGACACAAACAGAAAAUUUUACACCAAUAUUUGUAGAUUACGAAUCGGCCACGGACUUUUCAACGAACACCUGCACCGAAUGGGCAUGAUCGCUUCCCCAUCAUGCACAUGGUGUAACUCAAAUACAGCCCAAUCUCUACAUCACCUUUUUUUUGAUUGCUCUGAAUUUGUCAUUCAAAGACACAUUAUGUUUGACGAACUUAGGAUUAUCUUCAAAAAACCCGAAAAUAUCCCGCACUCAAUCCCGCUUCUCUUAAGAUUUCCUUCUUGUUUCAAAGCUAUUUUCACUUAUAUUACUACAACAUUCAAGGAUCUAUAAGAAUACUUUUAUUGAAUUGCAAGACAAUGAUUUUUUAUAAUUAUUUAUUUUUAAUUUGAUAAAUCCACUGGUUUAAGAAAACUCAAGAAAAGAUAUUUAUGAAAAUGUACUUACCGGAUUUGACAAAUGAAAUAUUGAAGAUUAUGACAAUAAUUGAAGCGACAUUAGAAAAAUAAAAUUCCAGACAAAUUAUCUUUUUGAAGACUAGGCAGCAUGGUCUCCGACCUUAGCCUGUUCCAAACGGAACAAACGUACUAAAAAAAAAAAAAACACGAUGGUAGAUAGAGAAAGAAAUAUAUAAGUACACGUAUAGAAUAUAUAAGGAUGAAGGUAGUAGUUAUUAGCCAUCUAUAAGUAAACCACUAAAACCAUUAGUUUUACGUUACAUUCUGUAGGCCUCUAGAUAAAUCCAAUAGAUGACUUUAAAUACUUUUAAUAAAAUGGAUUUGUCCACCUGUUUCAAAGUAUUUGAGACCGUAGUAAAGACCGCAACAUACAGUAUUUUAGAUUACCUUUAUAUAAUCGUAAUAGAUUUGAUGUCGAUUACUCGAUCGAUUUGGUACUGAUAUCAUUAUUAGCAUUAAAAACUCUUAUCAUCAAGGGGAAACAUAAAAAAGGAAAAAUAAUACAAUAGAAUGAGGACCUCUUCAUUAUUUGAAGUAGGCAGAAAAGAAAUUUAUAGUCUAGCAGCAGUGGCUACCUAGAUUAUACAACUACUACGCAGGUAGUUACCAAAAGACAACGAUUAAGUUGGAAGUCUAGUUGUAUGGUAAUAAAACUGUAGAAUACGGAUAUAUGACAGAUCUCAGGAAUGGCAAUGCAAAAGAGUUAUCUUGGAUGUCACGGUAUAUUUCCUGAUACAGUGGACGUCAUAUAGGCGUUAGUGACCACCACCAGAUGUAUCCUCCGCUUAUUUCAUUCAUCAUUUGCAUAAAGAAAUACACGGUGAUUGCUAGCAUUUUAUAUCAUUACACAACAUUGUCAUAUAUAAUUACAAAUAAAAUACGAAGGAAACCAAAAACAAUUGUAACAAUAUUGAUAGGGCUACACAAUUGGGUUGAAAAUUAAAACACGAGUAAAAUUCGAUUUUCAAUAACUCAUUUAUUCAACUGUACACUGAUUCACAGUUAAUCUUUCAUGAAACAUCACAAGCACAGUAUUGCAAUUGAUCACCUAUAAUUAUUAUUAAGUUGCCUGUGCUACAAUCAAUCGUACGACGGUGAACAA